This 155-nucleotide long non-coding RNA is filed under the name Sus scrofa (pig). Its description in RNAcentral is "lncRNA (ENSSSCG00015028828.1)". Lineage: Eukaryota; Metazoa; Chordata; Mammalia; Artiodactyla; Suidae. The record is from RNAcentral.
GGAAGGGCUGCAGAGACUUGGGCGAGCGAGCCUCCCUCAGCAGACUUUUGUUCCAACAUGGAAUUGGCAUGAAUCUCUCGCUCACUGUGUUCCACUCUGCAGUCCUGUGCCAUGAACACUGAAAAUGAGUCAGCCUAUCACUCCUGCCUGUCUCA